AAAAUAUAAAAGUGUAUUUUGUACUAUAGAUGGCUGCAUAUACACGACACACCCCAGUGGCGGAUCCAGAACUUGGUUCUGAGACAUAUAAGUAAAAUUUGUUAAGGAGAAAUCAAAAAUGUUUGAAUAAAAUACAUAUUACGUACAUAGUCGAGUGGGGGGAUCUUCCCCCCAUUCAUUCAGAUAACUAAAAAGCACAUAUUUGCAAUAUAUGGGUAUAUUCUUAUUCAUUUUUUUCUACAGACUAAAAAUAAGAUUUUACAAAGAUGUGGUUAAACCUAACAAAUCUUUCUAGGCCAAUCAUAGGAAUGCUUAGAAUUAAAUCUCGCAAAAAAUUUUGUUUAAGUUAAUACUAUCAGACUUCAAUUCUUGCUUUAAAUAAAGUACCAAGGAAUCAGCUCAAAAUGUCGAAAAUUAUUCCAAAAUUGGCCAAUCCCAAUUUGGAUACGAUGCCAUCGGACUUUUUGUACCACUUGGAUAUUAAUGUGGCAAAUACCCAGGAUACUAGUGAUAUUCAGCAGAGAUUUGGCGACGUGAGGGUGGUCUGCACGGGUGGAACUGCAUCUCGAAUGCGGGAGCUGGCUUUAUACAUGCGAAAGGUAUUGGGAGUGUCAGACCCGAGUGAUCCGGUGGAUUUGUGCGAGCGUGGGAGACGCUAUGCCAUGUACAAGGUGGGUCCGGUACUAUGCGUAAGUCACGGGGUUGGAUCCUCCACCUUUAGCGUUGUGCUUCACGAGCUGCUCAAGCUGGUCAAGUACGCCUGCUGCCAGGAUCCCAUCUUUCUGCGCAUCGGCACCUGCGGAGGACUGGGAGUGCCACCUGGCACAGUGGUGGUCACCAAGGAUGCAUUUAAUGGUCUGCUGCGCAACGAACAUGAGAUCGUUGGCUAUUCUUGGAAAACGUGUGGUACGACCAGCUCAGUUUUCUGAAGACGUGAUCAAAAAGAUAAUGGAAUAUGGUGCCGAUCCUCAUGACGGUUUUCAGACCAUAAGUGCCAACACAAUGGGGACAGAUUGCUUUUACGAGGGUCAGGGCCGCACCGACGGAGCUAUAUGCGAGUACACUGAGAAGGACAAGAUGGACUUCCUGCAGAAGUGCCAUGAUCUGGGAAUUCGAAACAUCGAGAUGGAGGCUAGCAUGUUUGCCUCAGUAACCAAAAAAGUGGGAG
This is an RNA transcript of Drosophila subpulchrella, 1168 nucleotides long. It is a transcript of the gene named uridine phosphorylase 1-like, with no coding region annotated. The transcript is spliced from 5 exons. Lineage: Eukaryota; Metazoa; Arthropoda; Insecta; Diptera; Drosophilidae. The record is from RefSeq and is a predicted model, not a curated record.